This 45-nucleotide non-coding RNA is filed under the name Schistosoma mansoni. The record is from RNAcentral. Lineage: Eukaryota; Metazoa; Platyhelminthes; Trematoda; Strigeidida; Schistosomatidae.
AUCCAGCUGAUGGGUCCUAAAUAGGACGAAACGCGCGUCCUGGAU